RNAcentral lists this ribosomal RNA (301 nucleotides) under uncultured bacterium. RNAcentral describes it as "partial 16S ribosomal RNA". It matches the Rfam family "Bacterial small subunit ribosomal RNA", at positions 510 to 808 of the family's 1533-position model. The record is from RNAcentral.
CGUAGCCGCGGUAAUACGUAGGGCGCAAGCGUUAUUCGGAAUUAUUGGGCGUAAAGAGCUCGUAGGCGGUUUGUCGCGUCUGCCGUGAAAGUCCGGGGCUCAACCCCGGAUCUGCGGUGGGUACGGGCAGACUAGAGUGAUGUAGGGGAGACUGGAAUUCCUGGUGUAGCGGUGAAAUGCGCAGAUAUCAGGAGGAACACCGAUGGCGAAGGCAGGUCUCUGGGCAUUAACUGACGCUGAGGAGCGAAAGCAUGGGGAGCGAACAGGAUUAGAUACCCCGGUAGUCCCUGUCUCUUAUACA